UCCUGCCCAGUGACACAGUUCAACGGCCGCGGUAUCCUAACCGUGCAAAGGUAGCAUAAUCACUUGCCCAUUAAUUGUGGGCUAGAAUGAACGGAUUAACGAAAUAAAUUCUGUCUCCAUAAGACACAUAAAAAUUAAUCUCUAACUGAAGAGUGUUAGAUUACUUCGGAGGACAAGAAGACCCUAUAGAGCUUCAUUUUUAAUAAGAUCAACCCUUAAUAAAAAAUUCGGUUGGGGCGACCAAGGAAUGCCUAAAUCAUCCUUAUUUUAAAGAUUAACUAAUCAACUUAAUGACCCUUAAUAAAGAGCAAAAAAACAAGCUACCUUAGGGAUAACAGGCUAAUCCUGCUAGAGAGUCCUUAUCAACAGCAGGGGUUGGCACCUCGAUGUUGGCUUAGGGAAACUACAUGGCGCAAAAGCCAUAUAAAGAUGGUUUGUUCAACCAAUAAAUCCCUACAUGAGCUGAGUUCAGACCGGCGCAAGCCAGGUUAGUUUCUAUCCCCGAUAAUACGUCUAUCUAUAGUACGAAAGGACCUAGAUAAGAAUAAUUAUUAUAUAUAAAGAACAAAUAUAAUAACAGAUAAACAAUAAAUAACAUAUACUAUAUAGUGAGUUGGCAGAAUAGUGCAAUCGAUUUAGGAUCGAUACAUGGAUAAGUCCACCCACUACAUGCAACUUAGUUUAUCUAGAAUUAUCAACUUGCACUUGAUAGGAGAGGUCUCUCAGUAGCGGCUUGACGUUUUGGAAACACUAGACCUUGAAUGUCUACUAAAGAUGUUCAACUCAUC
Molecule: unclassified non-coding RNA, 788 nt
Filed under: Hormogaster redii insularis
Lineage: Eukaryota; Metazoa; Annelida; Clitellata; Crassiclitellata; Hormogastridae
Description: partial contains 16S ribosomal RNA, tRNA-Leu, tRNA-Ala, and tRNA-Ser
Rfam family: Bacterial large subunit ribosomal RNA (bases 1-521)
Source: RNAcentral